UUACGACCAUAUCACGUUGAAACACCGGUUCUCGUACAAUCAACGAAGUUAAGCAACAUCGAACCGGGUCAGUAACAAGAUGGGUGUCCACUUGGGAAUACCAGGUGCUGUAAG
Acanthosepion pharaonis is the source of this 114-nucleotide non-coding RNA. NCBI's taxonomy places the organism in Eukaryota, Metazoa, Mollusca, Cephalopoda, Sepiida, Sepiidae. The record is from the annotation of a GenBank genome assembly.